This 253-nucleotide ribosomal RNA is filed under the name uncultured bacterium. RNAcentral's name for it is "partial 16S ribosomal RNA". It matches the Rfam family "Bacterial small subunit ribosomal RNA", at positions 524 to 776 of the family's 1533-position model. The record is from RNAcentral.
UACAGAGGGUGCGAGCGUUAAUCGGAAUUACUGGGCGUAAAGCGCACGUAGGUGGCGACGUAAGUCGGGUGUGAAAGCCCCGGGCUCAACCUGGGAACUGCGAUGGAUACUGAGAAGCUGGAGUACGGUAGAGGAAGGUGGAAUUCCCGGUGUAGCGGUGAAAUGCGUAGAGAUCGGGAGGAACACCAGUGGCGAAGGCGGCCUUCUGGACCAGUACUGACGCUGAGGCACGAAAGCGUGGGGAGCAAACAGG